UACGGGGGGGGUAAGCGUUGUUCGGAAUUACUGGGCGUAAAGGGCUCGUAGGCGGCCAACUAAGUCAUACGUGAAAUCCCUCAGCUUAACCGGGGAACUGCGUCUGAUACUGGAUGGCUUGAGAUUGGGAGAGGGAUGCGGAAUUCCAGGUGUAGCGGUGAAAUGCGUAGAUAUCUGGAGGAAUACCGGUGGCGAAGGCGGCAUCCUGGACCGACAUUGACGCUGAGGAGCGAAAGCUAGGGGAGCAAACGGG
Molecule: ribosomal RNA, 253 nt
Filed under: uncultured bacterium
Lineage: Bacteria
Description: partial 16S ribosomal RNA
Rfam family: Bacterial small subunit ribosomal RNA
Source: RNAcentral